GUUAAACUUUUUUAAAUUGAUUCUAUGUGAACCAAAAGAAGAACUCUUCAGACAUUAGCCCUAAUUUUUCCAUCUUCUCUCAUUUCCGCCUCACUCUUCUCGUUACUUCCUCUCGCAACACUUCCUUCCCUUUCCCAUAAUAGAGCCAAAAUAAUCCAAACCCUAAACCGAUUCAUUCACCUCACACCGUCGGAAUUUAUAGUUGUCGUUGGGAGCAGCCAGACUUUAGUCGCAGGUGGACAACAAUGGUGGCUGCUGUAACUACUUCUUAUUUCCUUCUCACUGCUGACUAUGGUACUGAACCAAAUGCUUUUGACCAAAUAAGUGCGACCGUAUGCGUGUUCUAAAUUAAUUUAAAUUUCUUGAUGGGUUUUCCUUUGUUUUUUUUCUUCUUUAUACACAUCUGUUAGUGAACUUAAAUUCGUUAAUGUCUGGUUGUGCUUUAGUUUAUUGUGUUUCUCUUUGCGGGCGGGCACUUGGGAAAGCGCGUUUAAUCGGAUAUCGAGACUUGGGUUCCAUUUUCAUGGUUUGUUUUAAUUUUUAGGCGAAAGGAGAUUUUACCCUUGAACACCCAACUCGAACUUAUGAAUCGUCAGUGAUAUAGGGAAGAAAUUUGAGGCUAAUUUCUCUCACGGUCUUCAUUAUGUUAAGUUAAUUGAAAACGGGGCAAUAAAGUUUUAUUAGAAGUAAAAUUCAGUUUGAUUUGUGUUCUUGUUAAUUAAAGCCAUUUAGAAGGAUCCGUAGGCGACAAAAUGGCAAUAGAAAUCUUAAAAUGGCAAUAGAAAUCUUUCUGAAUUUCUAGUGCACAAAUCAAAUUCAUAGGAUGGUAUGAUUUCUAAAGAUGCCAAGAGCAGAGGGUCGGUAGAGAUAGAUGAGGAUGUGUGCUCAAGCUCCACUUUGACAAUUUUGAUCACGAAAUAUAACGAAAAUGUAAAUUCCCUAAAUUCUAGAUUGGUGUAAAA
Molecule: long non-coding RNA, 962 nt
Filed under: Olea europaea subsp. europaea
Lineage: Eukaryota; Viridiplantae; Streptophyta; Magnoliopsida; Lamiales; Oleaceae
Source: RNAcentral